RNAcentral lists this long non-coding RNA (1098 nucleotides) under Homo sapiens (human). RNAcentral describes it as "long non-coding RNA NONHSAT256845". The record is from RNAcentral. Lineage: Eukaryota; Metazoa; Chordata; Mammalia; Primates; Hominidae.
GGCUGAAAGAGCACAUAGUUUCAUCGUCUGUGUUUUUUCAAAAGUCUCGUGUUCUCACUGAAAAAAAUAUAAAAGAUAGUUAGAAGUGUUUAGUGAAUAGACGCCAUAAUCUUGCAGGAAGAAAACUAGGUGGACAAUGGGGUCUCAUCCCACAAAGCCUCCAGCAGGCUCCUUUUAAGUUCAUCUGAAUUGGAUCAUGUGCCAUGCUGGACUCUUAUGUGCCCUUCCCUAGUCGUUGCUAAAACCAUCUUUUUGACAUAAAAUGACAAAAGUGGCAACUGUGAAAUUCUUUGGAUUUUAUAAUAAAGGUAGCCCAUGUUAGCAAGAAGAUUGGGAAGAUUCCCAAGGUAAAUCCCUUAACUGUGCAGGCUGGGUCCUAGAUUUGAUACAGUUAGAAUUUAUGCAGCACCCAACAUAUGCAGGUUAUCACCAUGGUGGAAGAGAGAGGUCUUGACCUCAAAGAGCUGGAAUUGUUAGGGAAAGGGAGGUAAUGAGGGAGGGCUUCCAGGAGGAAAGGAAAGCCAACAUCAACCAGAGCAGCCAGUCACUAAGGGAAGGUGAAGAGGUGAGCAUCUUAGCAGAGACUAGCACAUCAGUAACCCUGAGAAAUGACUCUGCAGUGAGAGACCCUGCAGAGUGAUUAGGUCCAGGUGUUGGGUGAUGAAGCUUGCUAAGUGGAGUGUUUGAACAUAGGAGGACCACUGGAGAGUGCAGGAACAGACUGUUCUGGUUCUCUAUUACUGUUCUGGUUUUCUAUUACUCUAUUACUGUAAAACAAACCACCCAGAAACUCAGUGGCUUUGUAGAAACAUCUUUCACAUUUUCUGCCUGGACUUGGCUGUGUGGUUUCAUGGGGAGACAUCUGUAGGCUCUAUCUGUGCUGGAGACAUCUGUAGGACUUGACGGGACUAGACAUCUGCAAAGGCUCACUCACACGGCUGGCCGCAGAUGCUGGUGUUGGCUGGGCAUUUAGCUUGGGCUGUUGACCAGAGCACCUGCCUAGGGCCUCUCCAUGGCUUGGGCUUCUCAUAGCAUCAGUUCUGGGAAAAAUGUAUACAUAUACCUUGGCAAACUUUAAACACUGAAUUGCACAAAUGC